GACGAACGCUGGCGGCGUGCUUAACACAUGCAAGUCGAACGGAAAGGCCUGCUUUCCCUUGUGGAUUGCGGGUACUCGAGUGGCGAACGGGUGAGUAACACGAGAGUGAUCUGCCCCCAACUUGGGUAUAAGCCUGGGAAACUGGGUCUAAUUCCCGAUAGGACUGCAGGGUGGUGCCUGUGGUGGAAAACGAUUUUCUAGUGGUUGGGGAUGAGCUCGCGGCCUAUCAGCUUGUUGGUGGGGUAAUGGCCUACCAAGGCGGCGACGGGUAGCCGGCCUGAGAGGGUGGACGGCCACAUUGGGACUGAGAUACGGCCCAGACUCCUACGGGAGGCAGCAGUGGGGAAUAGUGCACAAUGGGCGGAAGCCUGAUGCAGCGACGCCGCGUGGGGGAUGACGGCCUUCGGGUUGUAAACUCCUUUCGACCGCGAGGAAGCCACCUGGUUGGAAGGGUGGUGACGGUAGUGGUAGAAGAAGCACCGGCUAACUACGUG
RNAcentral lists this ribosomal RNA (494 nucleotides) under uncultured bacterium. RNAcentral describes it as "partial 16S ribosomal RNA". It matches the Rfam family "Bacterial small subunit ribosomal RNA", at positions 28 to 507 of the family's 1533-position model. The record is from RNAcentral.